UGGCUCAGGAUGAACGCUGGCGGCGUGCUUAACACAUGCAAGUCGAACGGAGAAAAGAAGCUUGCUUCUUUUCUUAGUGGCGGGCGGGUGAGUAACGCGUGGGUAACCUGCCCUAUGCAGGGGGAUAACGUUGGGAAACCAACGCUAAUACCGCAUAAUACAAAAAGCUUGCAUGAGCUUUUUGUCAAAGAUUUAUCGGCAUAGGAUGGACCCGCGUUGGAUUAGCUAGUUGGUGAGAUAACAGCCCACCAAGGCGACGAUCCAUAGCCGGCCUGAGAGGGUGAACGGCCACAUUGGGACUGAGACACGGCCCAAACUCCUACGGGAGGCAGCAGUGGGGAAUAUUGCACAAUGGGCGCAAGCCUGAUGCAGCGACGCCGCGUGAAGGAUGAAGGUUUUCGGAUCGUAAACUUCUAUCAGCAGGGAGGAACCAAAUGACGGUACCUGACUAAGAAGCCCCGGCUAACUACGUGCCAGCAGCCGCGGUAAUACGUAGGGGGCAAGCGUUAUCCGGAUUUACUGGGUGUAAAGGGUGCGUAGGUGGUAUGGCAAGUUGGAUGUGAAAUUUUGGGGCUCAACCUCAAAGCUGCAUCCAAAACUGCUGAACUAGAGUGCAGGAGAGG
Molecule: ribosomal RNA, 623 nt
Filed under: bacterium enrichment culture clone dylF71
Lineage: Bacteria
Description: bacterial SSU rRNA
Rfam family: Bacterial small subunit ribosomal RNA
Source: RNAcentral